AUUGUUUCUCAUAUUUUUUUAUAUUUUUGUUUAACAUUUAGAUUAAAACAUGUCUUUAUUAAUAAGAACUGAUGUUACGAGUGUGAAAUUAUUUGAUAACUUCAUUCUAGCAGGAUUAGGAAGUUACAUGCACGUUUAUGAAAAAAAUUCAAGCAAAUUAAUACAACGGUUACACGUCUUAAAAGGUCAAAAAAUAUACGGGUUCGCACCUUUGAAAAAAGAAUCCAAGAUUUUGGUUUAUGGCGGGAAGCAAUUCACUAUAAUAGCAGUAAAUAAGGAAGAUAUCAAGUUUACUUGCUGUUUCACAUCCAUUAUUUGUGAUGAUUGGUUGCAUUCAGGAAUAUGGACUUCUAAUGACAAAAUUUCACUUUUGACUGCUCAUAAUGUGGUUCAAAUAUGGAACACAAAAACACGAUCGCUAGAAACUCAAUACAAGAACAAAAAUAACUCCAUACUAUACAGUGGUUUACUGUUACCACUAAAUGAUGGAGUCCUGGUGUUCAGUGGAACUGUGUUCUCAGAAGUUCUUAUCAGUUAUCAGGAUGAGGAACCGAUGCAUUAUUUGAGGGGACACAAGGGAGUUAUAUUCUCCAUAAGCUGUGAUCCCCAGAGAGGAAUCUUAGUGACCACAUCAGAUGACAGAUCAGUUCACAUCUGGUCCAUAAAAAACAAAACUACCCACAGUUUUGAUACAAAAGCAUUCUGGGAAAAUGUACACAUUCAUCCGUUACAUGAAUUAUAUGGUCAUGGCGCUAGAGUGAUGCGAAAUUGUAUAGUAAAUGAUAUUGUUAUAUCUGUAGGUGAAGAUUCAGCUAUAUGCUAUUGGGAUUUAGAAGGUAAUUUGGUUAAGAAAUCCCCAGCUCAUGCUAACGCGUGUAUUUGGUCGUUAGAUGCAAAUGAAGAGCACCUAGUUACAGGAGGAGCUGAUAGUGCCGUUAUAUUACACCCACUUUCUAUUUUAAGCGAACAUAACAAAAACAGUGAUACUCUUAAUGUAGAUAUUGACACGCCAAAGAAAAUAGUGUUCACUGCAAGAAGAAACGUAAUAGCCAUGAACGAAAAUAAUGAUUUGGUUUAUUAUGACGUCGAUUCAAAAUCUUCAGCGGCCUUCAAACUAAAACACGAAUCUACGUAUAAAUUGAUCAGUGUAUCGUCGUGUAGGCAAUUGAUAGCUGUCGCAGAUAUGUCGGGGAAAUUUGAUGUUUUUAUCGAAAAUUGCAAAGGACCAUCAAUGAUUAGUAAUAUCAUCGAUACAAAGUUGGAUAUCAGCAAAAUUCUUUCUAUGCACUGGAUAUUAAAUAGACAUGUAGUGUUUUGUGCUGAUUUGGGUAAAAUUACAGUUCUUACGACGAGUGGUGACAAAUUAGACGUGUUCGCUGAAUUUGAGUUGCCAUUCUGCAAAGAGCGUUGGAUUACGUCUUGCGCUCUUAGUUCUGACAAUCUUUUUGUUGGAGAUCGUUUAGGAAAUAUACACGUAUUUGUUCGAGGACAAAAAUCUCCUGUAAGAACUUUUAAACGCGUGCAUGGGAGAUAUGGUCCGACAUCGAUAAAUGUACGACAAAAUGAAUUUAUCAGUACUGGCCGAGAUGGGACUAUGAAAUAUUUCAAUUUAAGUGCCUUAUCGCAUAAUUACAAUAGAGAUUUAGAUUUCCAAUGGGUUGAAAAAUUUGUUGAUUCGAAUGAUAGAUAUAUUUGUGGGUUCCAAGAACGUAUUUUUGUUGUUUAUGACGUGAAAAAUAAUGUUAGAGCGUUAGAAGUAAGUUGUGGUGGAGGCCAUAGAUCCUGGGAUGUUUUACGUUAUAUUGAAAAAGAGGGAGAAAAUUUUGAUGAAUUUAUUAGCUUCAUCUAUAUAAAAGAAGCGAACAUUCACUUAGAGAGGUUUAAUUUAAAGAACAUCGUUUCUAAAAAUAUAGUAAAUGGGACGCAUUCGAAAGAAAUCAAUUGCUUGGUAACCCACAAGUUUGAUGAUACGUUGUUUUAUAUAUCGGGUGGUGAAGAUACUACUCUAAGGGUAUCCAGUUCAAAUCCUGCAUUAGAAUUUAAAGAUGAACUUAUCUUAAAACAUUUAUCAAAUGUGAGGGCAUUAAAAAUUAACAAAUUGGACGAUAGAACUCUGUUGGUUACAUCAGCUGGUGGACGAGCACAGAUUUGCGUAAAUAAAAUCAUUUUUGAUAAAGUAGAUGGAGAAAUAAAAGUCACUACAGAAGAAUUGGUUAAUCAUAUGAUAAAUGGAACAGAUGUACAAAGAAGAUAUAACAAAAUGUUCAGAAACGAGGAAAUAGAUUUUGAUCCAGAAACGAGAAUUAUGGCUUUAGAAAAUUACAGCAAAGAUGACAAUACAUAUGUGAUAUUCGCUGGAUGCUCGGAUGGGAAUUUACGAGUCUUUCAAUUGGAAUUGAAUACUAAAUCGUUUCGUAAAAUAAACGAUAUAUUUUAUCAUUCCACUUGCAUACUAAACAUGCAAGUUGUUGACGUUGGAAAUACGAAAAUUCUUCUAUCAAGUUCAACCGCAAGGGAAAUUUCAUUCUGGAAUACGACACUUGUAGAUAGACCAACAUCUACUUUGCUGACUCACCAAUCCGGUAUAAACGCGAUUUAUGCUAAAGCGUUAUCUGAUACUGAAUUGCUAUUGGCUUCUGGAGGAGACGACAACGCAGUGGAACUGGCCUUCCAAGUGAUGAGUGAUCGUACAAAAGAUAUUUGCUAUUGGUCAAAUUCUAGCAGCCAUUGUUCCCAAGUGACAGGUGUCAUUAUCAUCGACAAUCUGUUGUUGUCAACGUCCAUAGACCAAAGAGUGACGGUGUUUGAGUGGUCGAUAGUCGAAGAUCAGAUUAAAUGCGAUUUUAAGUCGCAAGUUUUCAGCGAUGUCGCGGAUAUCCAGGGCAUGGACCUUGUUGGGAGUGAUGAACAAACAAUCACACUAUGUAUUUAUGGUAAAGGUAUUGAAGUAAUGGAAAUACCUAGACCUAAAAACUAACAAGCUACAAAAUAUAUAAGAAAGAAAGAUGACGAUGUAAGAAGUUCGCCAAUACAGCUCUGAUGUCGAUAAAAGUGACACCCGUGACAGAGCCGGUAUGGCUCGGCGAGGGUCCGCACUGGUCGAAGGAGGACCAAGCGCUAUACUUCGUCAGCAUCUUCGACCAGACCGUGCACAAGUAUGUUCCCAGUACU
This is an RNA transcript of Colias croceus (clouded yellow), 3171 nucleotides long. It is a transcript of the gene named regucalcin-like, with no coding region annotated. Lineage: Eukaryota; Metazoa; Arthropoda; Insecta; Lepidoptera; Pieridae. The record is from RefSeq and is a predicted model, not a curated record. The transcript is spliced from 6 exons.